UUAGCAGUGCUGAGUCCCAUGCUUCCUGCUGGCCCCCAGGUCUCUCUGUCGUAUUCUCUGCCUGCCUGUCCCCCUGCCCUGUUACUCUCUCCUACUGUCUGCUCCCUUCACUCCAGUGAGAAACAAAACAAAACUUUAUAGCUGUCUUCCUGGUAGCUGUGCCUGGUAGACACAUUUACUUUCAAGUGUAAACUCUCUUGCCAAUGUUACUUUAAUUCACUAAACUGCAUGAAAACAGGUGCAGAGGUUCGUGUGUGUGUGUGUGUGUGUGUGUGUGUGUGUGUGUGUGUGUGUGUGUGUGUCAGGGCUGGUGCAAGACCUCCCGGAAGCCCAUGUCUGUGGUCUUGGUAAGGCUCCCUUUCUACAUGUUCCCCUACAAUCUUCUGGUUUUCCUUUGGUGAGGCUCCUUAUUUUAUAUACAACCCGUCUGCAAUUUUCAUUCCCUGUUGGCAGGAACCAUGUCCGUCCUGUUGGCUAUAAUUUCUUUAGUGUCCAACACACAUGGAAGAGACCGUCUAGGUAUUUUCAGUUUCAAAUGAGAAAGCAAGAGUACGAUAGCUACGGUGAUGUAACGAUAGCAUUGGUUCCGUUGGGGGGAACAUCCUCAGAUUAGGACCGAGCCAGCUCUGUAGAAUAUGCCACAGAGUGUGGGAAUGCCUUGGGCUGUGGGGGGUGUUGGCUCUCUGUCCAAGUUGACCUCCUGGUUUAUAGACACUACUGACAGCCUGCAAGCUCAAGAAACCUGUCUUCUCUGUGUUACCUUGGUAACUCCUGGGAGGCCUCUGAUCCUGGUGGGCUUGGAGUCCAGGGAGAGACCAAAAAUGACCUCUCACUAAUGUAGAGCCGAAGGGAUGCUUCUAUCUCUAGCAGGAAAUGGUAUGUUCAUUCCUGAUUCUGCUUUGACAGAAGACGCAAGAAGCCAGCUGGGGGCCAGAUGCUCCAGUUGGCCAUCAAGAGUUGAGUCACUUUCUUGCCAAAGCCUGUGUCCACUCACACUUCUGCCUGGAGCACAUCAACUCAGCCACCUGUGACCGUAUAGAACAGAUGGUUGAUCUUCUAGGGCCAAAGGCAAGAAAGUUGUUCAUUUACGUGACAUAUUUUUUUUUAAAAUGCCCUCUUGCAGGAGAAGUGCAGCCCUGUGAUUGAGUGGCUUUCCUUUUUCAUUCUGUUGGGAACAGAUCAUCAGAGAGAAAGGUCUUGAUGACAUCAUGCAGAUCCUACCAUGAGGAGCCAGGGAGAAAAGGGGAACAGCUUUCCACUCUACAUUUCUGUGCUGGAAAUUGAGACUGGAACAAGAGAGGAAUCUGUGAAAGUUUUGCUUGAGGGCUCAGAAUUCAAACAUAUGUCCCUGCAAAUGGACCAUAUGUUCCAGUCUUUACAGAGGCGAAGUUCCCGGGGCAUCCUGGGGUUUCUCUAAGUAAAGAUUAAAGUUCAGCAAAUGCCGUCCACGCUGGUCCACUGACUUUUGCAGCUGGCCAGCCCUUGUGUAAAUCACGCAAUUAGCCUCAGAUAAACGUCCUAAGCUCCUUUUCUCCUUUCUGCUGUCUACUGGGUCCUCCUGGGAGUUUACAUCCCUGGGGAAACUGCGAGUCUGUUUGGCAGAAACCAUUCUUUAUACAUGUGCACGCCAGAGGAUGUCAGGGUAAAAGAAGCUAUGGCUAUCGGGUCUAGCAACACAGCAGCCCUGAGUCAUUCAUGGCUACCAAAAAUCUGCGCCUCUCCCCCAGUUCGGCGGCCACAUGCUGCUCCAGAAUCAGGAGGUCACAGUGAUGAUGACGAAAUACAAUGGAUAGAUUUUAUCUGUCUGGCAAAAUCUUAGGUGAUUUUGUUUUCACCCAGGGAUCCAGGAUGCACAGGGGCCAUAUCCUUUUUAAGGUGUAGCCAAGAGACAGAACUUUUCAGAAAUCCCCUGUAAACCAAAGGAAGUCCAUGUGUUACAAGCAACCCCUCCAGUUUCUGCUUUUUUAAAAAAAUCUCCCUUCACCCUACCCUUUCCAUGCAAAGCCACACAACUGGUUUAAGAGAAAUGUCUGAUCUUAGCCUGGCUGGAGCAGUCAUCAUUUUUGGUCGCUCAUUGGUUGUAACCUUUUUAGUAGUCGAGCUUUGAGAUUUGAAAGGCACGUUCAAAGCCUGCCGCACCCAUCAUCAGACCUCGCUGUGCUUGUAGAGAUCCGGGAAAUAAUAGAGACAUCCCACAGCAACUAUGUAGGGCAACAGAAUGAGGACAGUCAAACAAAUACAAAAGUAUGUGUUCUUCUUCCUUGAGUGUCUUUGGUGGGUCAGGGAAGAGGGAAGUCAUGGCUGCAUAUUUUCUGGGUUGGUUAUUAGGACUCCUCGCAAUUAACCUUCAGAGUUUUCCACAUGGUAUUUCUCAACCAAAGUGUGGCACAGGAGUCCUGCCUCCAGGGUGUGGUACCCAACUUUUUCCUGUCAAGGCAAGUCAGACACACUGGUGAGAAGAGCAGGUGGAUCUGAGAAGUGUGAGCCUGGAAAGCCCACUUGGGUAGAACUCCCACCACCCAGAGUCAAGCCUCUCUCUGCCACUCAACUUUGGUAAACCCCCCUUCCACCUGCCCUUCCGAGCCUCAGCUUCCUUAUCUCUAAAUUGGGCAUAAUGUUACCUGUUCUGCCUCACCAGGCAAUUUUUCUGGCUUGAUGGUGACAAAUAGACAAAAGGGCUUUUGCUGUUAUGUUUGAAGACCCCUGAGAUCUUGAGCCCAGGUGUUCUUCCCAGUGAAACAGCUCUUCAGGCUUGAAGCAGCUAAAUCAUCCUUUGAGCGUAAUCACAAUUAACCCUGAACUGCAUUGCUGUAUUUUUUUUUCAUUUUUAAAAAAGUUUUAUUGAGGUAGAGUUGAUUUGCAAUAUUGCGAUCAUUCCUGCUGUACAAAGUGAUUUAGUUAUACAUGUAACACAUCCAUUCUCAUUCAGAUUCUUUUCCAAAAUAGAUGAUCUCAGAAUAUUCAGUAGAGUUCCCUGUGCUAGAAAGCAGGUCCCUGUUGGCCAAUUAUUCCAUAGACCUCAGUGUGCAUAUGCCGGUCCCAAACCCCGAGUCCAUCCCUCCCCCCACCUGUUCCCUUUGGUAACUAUAAAUUUGUUUUCAAAGUCUGUGAGUCUGUUUCUGCUCUACAGAUAAGUUCAUUUAUAUCCUUUUUGUAGAUUCCCCAUAUUAGUGCUAUCAUAUGAUGUUUGUGUUUCUCUUUCUGAUGUACUUAGUAUGACAAUCUCUAGUUGCAUCCAUGAUGCUGCAAAUGGCUUUAUUUUGUUCUUUUAUAUGGCUGAGCAAUAUUCCAUUGUGUAUGUAUACAUACGUCUUUAUCCAAUCCUCUGUCAAAGAACGCUUGCGUUGUUUCCAUGUCUUGGCUGUUGGAAAUAGUGCUGCAAUGAACAUUAGGCUGCAUGUAUAUUUUCAAAUUAUACUUUUCUCCGGAUAGAUGCCCAGGAGUGGGAUUGCUGGAUCAUAUGGUGGUUCUGUUUUUAGUUUUUUGAGGAACCUCCGCAGUGUUCUCCAUACUGGCUGCAUCCAGUUUACAUUCCCACCAAUGGUGCAGGAGGGUUCCCUUUUUUCUGAGCCCUCUCCAGCAUUUAUCUAAUGUUUGUAGUUUGUAGACUUUUUGAUGACAGCCAUUCUGACUGGUGUAAGGUGGUACCUCACGGUAGUUUUGAUUUGCAUUUCUCUAUAAUGAGCGAUGCUGAGCAUAUUUUCGUGUGGUUUUUGGCCAUCUGUCUGUCUUCUUUGGGGAAAUGUCUGUUUAGACCUUCUGCCCAUUUUGAAAGUCUUUGCUUUAGACGGAAAGUUUGAUUGUGGUGGGAAGAAACCCAUUGCUUCUUGGUUCUUCACAAUACUGGUGUGGAUUGUGGUGAUUCCUUGGAACACAGAGGCUGGGAGGGAAGGCUUCCCAUCUUUCAACCAAGCUGGGACGUUUCAGAAAGGAAACACUGGUAAUCAGUCCUCUGGAGAAGCAGGUGUAAAUCAAGACUAUCACAGGCAAGUCAGGGCCUGUGGUGACCUUAUCUCUAAGGACAGAAAUAGAAAAUGGCCAGCAGGAUGACAGUGACAUUUAGAUUUACGUCCAGGAUUCCACAUCCGGAUUCUGCUGGCAGGUCUACCCUUGUGCUUGUGUUGGGGUCUCAACAGUGAUCCUAUGAAUCCUUGCAUGUGGGUGAAGUCUAGACCAACGCUUGAUCAUGUCGCCCAUUGCUAAUCAGUUACACCAUGUAUCAUACUGACUGUUUCAAUGUAUCCUGUUGCUAGGUGACCACUGUAGUCAAGGGUCUGACUCUAUUUAAAAAAAAAACAAAAAAACAAAAAAAAAAACCAAGAUGGAGUUCCCACUGUGGCACAGAGGAAAUGAAUCCGACUAGGAAUCAUGAGGUUGCGGGUUCAAUCCCUGGCCUCGUUCAGUGCGUUAAGGAUCUGGCAUUGCCGUGAGCUGUGGUGUGAGUCACAGACACAACUCGGAUCUGGCGUUGCUGUGCCUAUGGUGUAGGCGGGCAGCUGUAGCUUCUUCAAUUAGAUCCCUCGCCUGGAAACCUCCAUAUGCCCGCAAGUGUGGCCCUAAAAAGCAAAAAUAAAUAAAUAAAGUAACAACAACAACAGCAACAAAAAACAAAAAACAAGGUAAAGACUUUUACCAAGAUUUAGGGGGUCAGGGGAGAGAAUAACCCCUAUGAGUUAAGUUUCUGCUUGGGUGCAUCAGAGAAAGGAACAUUUCAGCUGGGUCUUGAAGGUUGAGUAGGAGUUCCCCAGAAAAAGAUACGUGACACCCUUUUUUUUUUUUUUUUUUUUUUUUUUUUUUGCUUUUUAGGGCCACACCUGCAGCAUAUGGAAGUUCCCAGGCUGGGGGCCAAAUUGGAGCUGCAGCCACCGGCCUAUGCCACAUCUCACAGCAGAUUCGAGCCACAUCUGUGACCUACACCAUGGCUAACAGCAAAGCCAGAUCCUUAACCCACUGAGUAGUGACUCCCUUUUUUGUGGUUUGAUUACUGAUAGCUUUCAAAGCCAACCCUCCCCCGCAUUCUCUUUUGUCCUACCUCUGGACAAU
This 5043-nucleotide long non-coding RNA is filed under the name Sus scrofa (pig). RNAcentral describes it as "lncRNA (ENSSSCG00000053240.1)". Lineage: Eukaryota; Metazoa; Chordata; Mammalia; Artiodactyla; Suidae. The record is from RNAcentral.